This 440-nucleotide ribosomal RNA is filed under the name uncultured bacterium. RNAcentral describes it as "partial 16S ribosomal RNA". It matches the Rfam family "Bacterial small subunit ribosomal RNA", at positions 338 to 795 of the family's 1533-position model. The record is from RNAcentral.
CCUACGGGAGGCUGCAGUAGGGAAUAUUGCUCAAUGGGGGAAACCCUGAAGCAGCAACGCCGCGUGGAGGAUGAAGGUUUUCGGAUUGUAAACUCCUUUUGUUAGAGAAGAUAAUGACGGUAUCUAACGAAUAAGCACCGGCUAACUCCGUGCCAGCAGCCGCGGUAAUACGGAGGGUGCCAGCGUUACUCGGAAUCACUGGGCGUAAAGGGCGCGUAGGCGGGAUAGCAAGUCAGAUGUGAAAUCCUAUGGCUUAACCAUAGAACUGCAUUUGAAACUGUUAUGCUAGAGUAUGGGAGAGGUAGGUGGAAUUCUUGGUGUAGGGGUAAAAUCCGUAGAGAUCAAGAGGAAUACUCAUUGCGAAGGCGACCUGCUAGAACAUAACUGACGCUGAUGCGCGAAAGCGUGGGGAGCAAACAGGAUUAGAUACCCGAGUAGUC